Molecule: ribosomal RNA, 468 nt
Filed under: uncultured bacterium
Lineage: Bacteria
Description: partial 16S ribosomal RNA
Rfam family: Bacterial small subunit ribosomal RNA
Source: RNAcentral
GACGAACGCUGGCGGCGUGCUUAACACAUGCAAGUCGAACGGAAAGGCCCUGCUUUUGUGGGGUGCUCGGGUGGCGAACGGGUGAGUAACACGUGAGUAACCUGCCCUUGACUUUGGGAUAACUUCAGGAAACUGGGGCUAAUACCGGAUAGGAGCUCCUGCUGCAUGGUGGGGGUUGGAAAGUUUCGGCGGUUGGGGAUGGACUCGCGGCUUAUCAGCUUGUUGGUGGGGUAGUGGCUUACCAAGGCUUUGACGGGUAGCCGGCCUGAGAGGGUGACCGGCCACAUUGGGACUGAGAUACGGCCCAGACUCCUACGGGAGGCAGCAGGGGGGAAUAUUGCAAAAUGGGCGGAAGCCUGAUGCAGCAACGCCGCGUGCGGGAUGACGGCCUUCGGGUUGUAAACCGCUUUCGCCUGUGACGAAGCGUGAGUGACGGUAAUGGGUAAAGAAGCACCGGCUAACUACGUG